RNAcentral lists this ribosomal RNA (327 nucleotides) under uncultured eukaryote. Its description in RNAcentral is "partial 18S ribosomal RNA". It matches the Rfam family "Eukaryotic small subunit ribosomal RNA", at positions 1470 to 1796 of the family's 1831-position model. The record is from RNAcentral.
CCCUUAGAUGUUCUGGGCCGCACGCGCGCUACACUGACGAAUGCAACGAGCUUAUAACCUUGGCCGAAAGGUCUGGGUAAUCUCCAAAUUUCGUCGUGAUGGGGAUAGAUUAUUGCAAUUAUUAAUCUUCAACGAGGAAUGCCUAGUAAGCGUAAGUCAUCAGCUUGCGUUGAUUACGUCCCUGCCCUUUGUACACACCGCCCGUCGCUCCUACCGAUAGAAUGGUCCGGUGAAGCGUUCGGACCGUGGCCUUUGGACGGUUCGCCGUCUGUUGGCUGCGGGAAGUUCGUUAAACCUUAUCAUUUAGAGGAAGGAGAAGUCGUAACA